Molecule: long non-coding RNA, 186 nt
Filed under: Mustela putorius furo (domestic ferret)
Lineage: Eukaryota; Metazoa; Chordata; Mammalia; Carnivora; Mustelidae
Description: lncRNA (ENSMPUG00000024025.1)
Source: RNAcentral
GUUCAAUUCUCUUUUGCUAUUAGAAAGAUUAUUUCAUUCUAUGUAUUACUUAGUACUAUGAAGUCAAUUUUGGAUUUUUGUGGAGAAAUAAGAUACAGUCUGAAGAAAGGAGAUGGCACAAGCUGAUUUAUAUGGGGGAAUGCCAUGAGUCAUCACUUUUUGGAAAAAAUGAAAGAGAAAGGUUUU